UUCCCAUACGGGUUGAAGCAUGACCGUAAGGACAUGUGGACAGUAUGGGAGUGAGAAUGUUGGCAUGAGUAGCGAGAUGUGGGUGAGAAUCCCACAGGCCGUAAACCCAAGGUUUCCAGGGGAAGGUUCGUCCGCCCUGGGUUAGUCGGAACCUAAGCUGAGGCCGAAAGGCGUAGGUGAUGGACAACAGGUUGAUAUUCCUGUACUACCGAUAACCAUUUGAGAGAAGGGAUGACACAGUAGGAUAAGCUAAGCACACUGUUGGUUAUGUGUGCCCAAGCAUUGAGGCAGUCAAAGUAGGCAAAUCCGCUUUGAUAAUGCUGGGAUGUGAUGGGGAGCGAAAUUUAGUAGCGAAGUAGCUGAUUUCACACUGUCAAGAAAAGUCUCUA
This 389-nucleotide ribosomal RNA is filed under the name Clostridioides difficile. RNAcentral's name for it is "partial 23S ribosomal RNA". It matches the Rfam family "Bacterial large subunit ribosomal RNA", at positions 1238 to 1623 of the family's 2925-position model. Lineage: Bacteria; Bacillati; Bacillota; Clostridia; Peptostreptococcales; Peptostreptococcaceae. The record is from RNAcentral.